CCUACGGGAGGCAGCAGUGAGGAAUAUUGGUCAAUGGACGAGAGUCUGAACCAGCCAAGUAGCGUGAAGGAUGACUGCCCUAUGGGUUGUAAACUUCUUUUAUCUGGGAAUAAAACGUUCCACGUGUGGGAUUUUGUAUGUACCCUAUGAAUAAGGAUCGGCUAACUCCGUGCCAGCAGCCGCGGUAAUACGGAGGAUCCGAGCGUUAUCCGGAUUUAUUGGGUUUAAAGGGAGCGUAGGUGGAUUGUUAAGUCAGUUGUGAAAGUUUGCGGCUCAACCGUAAAAGUGCAGUUGAAACUGGCAGUCUUGAGUACAGUAGAGGUGGGCGGAAUUCGUGGUGUAGCGGUGAAAUGCUUAGAUAUCACGAAGAACUCCGAUUGCGAAGGCAGUUCACUGGACUGCAACUGACACUGAGGCUCGAAAGUGUGGGUAUCAAACAGGAUUAGAUACCCGUGUAGUC
This 460-nucleotide ribosomal RNA is filed under the name uncultured bacterium. RNAcentral's name for it is "partial 16S ribosomal RNA". It matches the Rfam family "Bacterial small subunit ribosomal RNA", at positions 338 to 795 of the family's 1533-position model. The record is from RNAcentral.